UGGGGAAUUUUGGACAAUGGGCGAAAGCCUGAUCCAGCAAUGCCGCGUGUGUGAAGAAGGCCUUCGGGUUGUAAAGCACUUUUGUCCGGAAAGAAAUCCUUGGCUCUAAUACAGUCGGGGGAUGACGGUACCGGAAGAAUAAGCACCGGCUAACUACGUGCCAGCAGCCGCGGUAAUACGUAGGGUGCAAGCGUUAAUCGGAAUUACUGGGCGUAAAGCGUGCGCAGGCGGUUUGCUAAGACCGAUGUGAAAUCCCCGGGCUCAACCUGGGAACUGCAUUGGUGACUGGCAGGCUAGAGUAUGGCAGAGGGGGGUAGAAUCCCACGUGUAGCAGUGAAAUGCGUAGAGAUGUGGAGGAAUACCGAUGGCGAAGGCAGCCCCCUGGGCCAAUACUGACGCUCAUGCACGAAAGCGUGGGGAGCAAAACAGGAUUAGAUACCCUGGUAGUCCACGCCCUAAAACGAUGUCAACUAGUUGUUGGGGAUUCAUUUCCUUAGUAACGUAGCUAACGCGUGAAGUUGACCGCCUGGGGAGUACGGUCGCAAGAUUAAAACUUAAAGGAAUUGACGGGGUCAUAGCUGUUUCCU
Molecule: ribosomal RNA, 587 nt
Filed under: uncultured bacterium
Lineage: Bacteria
Description: partial 16S ribosomal RNA
Rfam family: Bacterial small subunit ribosomal RNA
Source: RNAcentral